AGCUCUAAUAGCGUAUAUUAAUACUGUUGUAGUUAAAACGCUCGUAGUUGAACUUAAGGUUAUUACAAGUUUGGUUUAGUUGAUUCUAAACUGCUUGCUUAGCCUUUACCUACUGGAUACUCUAUUCUGUACUUAAUUGUAUGGGAUAUUGCCAAGCCAGCAUAAUUGUGAUUGUUUAGCUCCUUACCUUGUAUCAAAGUGUAAAAGCUUGAAGUAUGAGUUAGGGGUCAAGUUAAGCGUUAUAGUUGGGUACCAGUUAUUUUACUUUGAGUAAAUUAGAGUGUUCAAAGCAGCCUCUUGGGGCUUUGCAUAGAUUUAGCAUGGGAUAAUAAAAUAGGAUUUGAUCUCCUAUUUGUUGGUUUGAGAUGAUCAGAUAAUGAUUAAUAGGGACAGUUGGGGGCAUUUAUAUUAAGUGGUUAGCGGUGAAAUGUGUGGACCCACUUAAGAUAAACUAAAGCGAAAGCAUUUGCCAAGGAUGUUUUCA
RNAcentral lists this ribosomal RNA (484 nucleotides) under uncultured eukaryote. RNAcentral describes it as "partial small subunit ribosomal RNA". It matches the Rfam family "Eukaryotic small subunit ribosomal RNA", at positions 587 to 972 of the family's 1831-position model. The record is from RNAcentral.